Molecule: long non-coding RNA, 354 nt
Filed under: Zonotrichia albicollis (white-throated sparrow)
Lineage: Eukaryota; Metazoa; Chordata; Aves; Passeriformes; Passerellidae
Description: lncRNA (ENSZALG00000007872.1)
Source: RNAcentral
GCAGCAUUGUUUCCCUCUUAACCACCGAAGUGACUUAACCAGUUUGACCAGGAUCUAGUAUCCUCCUGAGUAAAGACUUAACUGCUCCAUUGAGAGCAGUCCCUUUCCACAGCCAGUCAGAUGAGUAAACGCUUUUACACUUUUUCCUAGGCGAAGCAGUAGCAGUUCAUGGAGCUGCCCUUCACAAACCUUGAAGUAGCUUUCAUCUUGCUGGCUUUUGUCAUUUUCACCUUGUUUACCCUGGCUUCUAUCUACAGUGACUCCCAUGACAACAAAGAAGAAAAGCUACACACAGGAAGAAAACAAGAGAAGGAGAAAAUCCAACAAGAAAAAGAAGCAUUCGAAUAUGAGUGA